GGUGUAGAGCUCAGUAUCAGAGCACUUGCCUAGUAUGCAUGAGCAUGAGGCCCUGGGUUCAAUUCCCAGCACCA
This 74-nucleotide transfer RNA is filed under the name Fukomys damarensis (Damara mole-rat). It matches the Rfam family "tRNA". Rfam says of the family: Transfer RNA (tRNA) molecules are approximately 80 nucleotides in length. Their secondary structure includes four short double-helical elements and three loops (D, anti-codon, and T loops). Lineage: Eukaryota; Metazoa; Chordata; Mammalia; Rodentia; Bathyergidae. The record is from Rfam by way of RNAcentral.